Molecule: ribosomal RNA, 524 nt
Filed under: Hemideina thoracica
Lineage: Eukaryota; Metazoa; Arthropoda; Insecta; Orthoptera; Anostostomatidae
Description: SSU rRNA
Rfam family: Eukaryotic small subunit ribosomal RNA
Source: RNAcentral
AUGGCUCAUUAAAUCAGUUAUGGUUCCUUAGAUCGUACCCACAUUACUUGGAUAACUGUGGUAAUUCUAGAGCUAAUACAUGCAAACAGAGUCCCGACCAGAAAUGGAAGGGACGCUUUUAUUAGAUCAAAACCAAUCGGUCGGCUCGUCCGGUCCGUUUGCCUUGGUGACUCUGAAUAACUUUGGGCUGAUCGCACGGUCUUAGUACCGGCGACGCAUCUUUCAAAUGUCUGCCUUAUCAACUGUCGAUGGUAGGUUCUGCGCCUACCAUGGUUGUAACGGGUAACGGGGAAUCAGGGUUCGAUUCCGGAGAGGGAGCCUGAGAAACGGCUACCACAUCCAAGGAAGGCAGCAGGCGCGCAAAUUACCCACUCCCGGCACGGGGAGGUAGUGACGAAAAAUAACGAUACGGGACUCAUCCGAGGCCCCGUAAUCGGAAUGAGUACACUUUAAAUCCUUUAACGAGUAUCCAUUGGAGGGCAAGUCUGGUGCCAGCAGCCGGGGCGGGGGCGGCGGGCCGGGCG